Molecule: non-coding RNA, 29 nt
Filed under: Mus musculus (house mouse)
Lineage: Eukaryota; Metazoa; Chordata; Mammalia; Rodentia; Muridae
Source: RNAcentral
UGCUCAAACAUACUGAGACAAGUGUUACC